RNAcentral lists this ribosomal RNA (471 nucleotides) under Filosporella fistucella. RNAcentral describes it as "eukaryotic LSU rRNA". The stretch from base 125 to 278 matches the Rfam family "5.8S ribosomal RNA". The record is from RNAcentral. Lineage: Eukaryota; Fungi; Ascomycota; Leotiomycetes; Helotiales.
UGUGUUAACGUACCUUUGUUGCUUUGGCAGGCCGCGGCCUCCGCUACGGGCCCACGCUCGUAUGCGCCUGCCAGAGGACCCAACUCUUGUUUUUAGUGAUGUCUGAGUACUAUUAAAUAGUUAAAACUUUCAACAACGGAUCUCUUGGUUCUGGCAUCGAUGAAGAACGCAGCGAAAUGCGAUAAGUAAUGUGAAUUGCAGAAUUCAGUGAAUCAUCGAAUCUUUGAACGCACAUUGCGCCCGCUGGUAUUCCGGCGGGCAUGCCUGUUCGAGCGUCAUUAUGACCAACUCACGCUCCGCGUGGUCUUGGGGUCCGCUGCCUCGGCGGCCCCUAAACGCAGUGGCGGUGCCGUGCGGCUCUCAGCGUAGUAAUACUUCUCGCUACAGAGUCCGGACGGUGCUAGCCAGCAACCCCAACUUCUUUAGGUUGACCUCGGAUCAGGUAGGGAUACCCGCUGAACUUAAGCAUAU